GAGCCGGUAACAGAGCAGAACUAAGCUCUACAGAGUUUUGGGGCCCAUGGAAAGUGAGAACCACAGUCCCCGUCAGAGGAAUAACUCUUCUGGGCACCCAGAGAGCACCCAGAUACUGCCUAGGAACUUCAGUGUGGAAGAAAAAUGUGGAAGACCUUGCAGGUUCUACCUGUAAUGCAAGUAUUCAACUUGAGCCUUUGGGAGCUUUGUCUCAGGGGACAAAAAUCACUUCCCUUCAAAGCACAGGAUUUUGUAAUUUUUCUUUCUUCAAGAAAGGGUCAUAAACUCUCUUCAAUAUGUGGCAGCAGCAGGAAAGCAACUGGCUGUUGGUAUGGAACACCUGGGUGCAGUAUCACCAGGAUGUUCCAGGGGUUCUUUCAGAAAUGUUGAGGUGAGAGGAUUUUUGGUGAUGCAGAAGCACCUGGUCAGAAGCAUGAGCAACCUGGGAUUUCAUCAUGAUAUAGUUCUGAUGUAGGUGAGACAUGGUUGCAAAGGGAAAUAGCUGACUAAAGGCUCCAAAGACCUCUACAAAUCUGCCCUAAACCAUUCUGAGUAUUUUCCUUCAGGUUCACUUUGAGGUGGAAAAAGGCUCUUGUCCAUAGUCCGGCUCCUAUGUGGGAGGAAAGAACUCAGCCCAGCUACUGAACUUCCAUGCUGAUAUUUCUCUGUCUUAAUUCAUUGUUUUGUAAGGAAAAUAUCUUCUCCACCUCUCUUUUACUGUGAGAAGAGCCAGAGGAGAUCCCUGCAAGGUCUACUGAAGGAGGAGGCAAAAGGGAUACAUGGACAAUCCCUGUACUCUGCACUCACUGCAUUUCUUCUGGCCUGACUGAAUGAAGCACAGCAGGAGGAUGGGAAGCUUCAUGUGGCUACUUAAAUAUCUAAUAAAAAAGACAAUGAUGUUAUCUGAAAAUAAUGAAACUGAUACUGCUGGGAUAUAUUGCAUAAUAUAGUCUAACACCUUUCAUUCACAGUGUUUUAUAUUUGUAAAAUGCCCAUUGCCAGUUGGCUCCUGGGCUGCAGACU
This is a long non-coding RNA of Corapipo altera (White-ruffed manakin), 1023 nucleotides long. RefSeq lists it as uncharacterized. The transcript is spliced from 3 exons. The record is from RefSeq and is a predicted model, not a curated record. NCBI's taxonomy places the organism in Eukaryota, Metazoa, Chordata, Aves, Passeriformes, Pipridae.